Ipomoea nil (Japanese morning glory) is the source of this 94-nucleotide long non-coding RNA. RefSeq lists it as uncharacterized. The record is from RefSeq and is a predicted model, not a curated record. NCBI's taxonomy places the organism in Eukaryota, Viridiplantae, Streptophyta, Magnoliopsida, Solanales, Convolvulaceae. The transcript is spliced from 3 exons.
AAAUGAAAGUGAAAAUGGUUUAUGUAAUUCUUGAUGAUUUAGAUGAAUUGACUGAUUUUUGGGGCAUUUCGGAUGCAUGUAGAGUCAACAGGAG